RNAcentral lists this ribosomal RNA (315 nucleotides) under uncultured bacterium. RNAcentral describes it as "bacterial SSU rRNA". It matches the Rfam family "Bacterial small subunit ribosomal RNA", at positions 28 to 334 of the family's 1533-position model. The record is from RNAcentral.
GAUGAACGCUAGCUACAGGCUUAACACAUGCAAGUCGAGGGGCAGCAUGAAUUUACUUCGGUAAAUUUGAUGGCGACCGGCGCACGGAUGCGUAACGCGUAUCCAACCUUCCCGUUACUCAGGGAUAGCCUUCCGAAAGGGAGAUUAAUACCUGAUGGUGUUUGAAUUCCGCAUGUUAUUCAAACUAAAGAUUUAUCGGUAACGGAUGGGGAUGCGUGACAUUAAGUAGAUGGCGGGGUAACGGCCCACCAUGCCUACGAUGUCUAGGGGCUCUGAGAGGAAGGUCCCCCACACUGGAACUGAGACACGGCCCAG